CCAUGAUAAAGAAGGAAAUAGCUCAUAUGUAUCUACAUGAAUAUCAUUUUGAUUUUAAAGUUGAACUCUUGAAAAUUGCAAAUUGUUUUUCUCCAAACAGUCUUAACUAAUCGUGUAAUCAUGUUGGAGGCUCAGUGACGUGUCUAUUGGGAGCUCGUCGUUGAAUUUUAUUGAGAAUAUAACAUCUUUAACCAACUUGUAAGACCAUAUGAUCUCAUCAUAUGCAAUAAUACUAAUCUAGUCCUAAGAAACAAUAUGCUUUCUGGUACUAUUCCAUCCACCAUUGGAAAACACCUAUUAUUGAUGCAGAUGUGAGUUUUUCAAGUUAUGUUUGGUUCAAAUUACAAUUUCUCAUGUUUACUGAGUUCAUCCAUUUGCAGUCUAUGGACUGCAGUGGACCCCACUGCCUUUAAUGUUUCUGGAAAAGGGUCUUUAGUAAUAUCAUGAUUCCUGUUGGGUUUCUGGAAUACGGGUUUUAAUGUUGAUAUGGUGGAGUACAAGAAUAUCAACUUCACUAUUUAGGAUGUCAGGGGUCAGGACAAGAUCAGACCGUUAUGGAGGCACUAUUUCCAAAACACACAGGGACUCAUUUUUGUUGUUGACAGCAAUGACAGAGACCGUGUAGUUAAGGCAAGAGAUGAACUCCCAGGAUGCUGAAUGAGUUAAAUUUUCUUCAAAAAAGAAGUCAUGUGCAGUAAGCUUUCGGAUCAAAGCGAAGUUGAGAAUAGGGUGUUACUUGAUAACAAAUUGAUAACCAGUAGAGGCACAUCAAUGGAGUUCUUGCUUGCGAUUGUUGAGAAGCUAUUUGGCUGCGAGAAGGCAUUGGAUCUUGCUGUCAAUGAGAACUUUAUAAAAUAGAGAUAUAACUAUUAUGUUGGCAUUGUACUUUUGU
Long non-coding RNA from Magnolia sinica, 892 nucleotides. RefSeq lists it as uncharacterized. NCBI's taxonomy places the organism in Eukaryota, Viridiplantae, Streptophyta, Magnoliopsida, Magnoliales, Magnoliaceae. The transcript has 4 exons. The record is from RefSeq and is a predicted model, not a curated record.